Molecule: long non-coding RNA, 2673 nt
Organism: Rhinolophus ferrumequinum (greater horseshoe bat)
Lineage: Eukaryota; Metazoa; Chordata; Mammalia; Chiroptera; Rhinolophidae
Exons: 5
Source: RefSeq, a predicted model, not a curated record
GGGGGACAGGACACUUUCCUUACUUUGAUGACAUAGUCAGAUCCUUGGGGCCGUGUGCCUGGCGUUUGAAAAUUUCCUGGCGGAUGAAAACCAUGAGCGCCAUACAUCACCAAGAAUCAAAGGUUGUGACUGGCAGUGUGAGGUAACUCUGUAGCGAAGAGAACAGCUUUGGACUGUGAGUGGACAGCACGAUGACCAGUGUUCCCGAGCACACCUGCAGAAGCGCACGCUCUUCACACACACGUGUCCAGUGCACGUGCAUACGGCCCAGUGCUAGAUGGACUUGAAAGUGGGUUGACCGUGCCCUGGUAUGACAUUCUCCCAGGACUCUGAUGCUCUGAGUUUGGAUGGUGCUCCUGGCACUGUCGGCCGAGCCACUGAGAUCACAGCUAAGACAUGGUUCCUUCUCCGUGAAAGAUUUUCAUCGCCAGGAAGAACAUUAUUUUGACUAUUUCUGGUUCCUGAAAUUGAGCAUUUUUUUUUUUUUCAGGCACCAAUCCCGAAAGGCUUUAUGUGUCCUCUCUACCUCCGAUCAGGACUGUGCAAGAAGAAGACAGAAAAGUCCUGUGAAGAGGUCCCUGGUCCUGGGUCCUACUGCAGAACUUGCCCCGGGCAGUGGCCUCUGCCUGGGUUACCCAAGGUGGCUGAAACACACACCAUCGUGCAUCUGGCCAAUUAUGCAAAGCUCUAUCACAAGAGGAAAUUCCUUCUUCACCCCAGCUGGUGAACAGCUAUGCCUUGGAGCCCAGGACGGACAUGCCUUGUAACUUUUUAACCUAGUUAGUGUAACUGCCAAUAUAAUUCCUAUUCAUAUAAAUGUCUAAUCCUUUCUUGAAUCUCGCUGGACUAUUUGCCUCAAUAAUAUCCUGCGGCAGUGAAUUCCACAGGUAGAUUACACGCUGUUUUAAAAAGCACUCCAUUUUAUUCGUUUACAGUUUGUUACCUUUUAACAUCACAAGAUGGCCGUUGAUUUUGCUUUAAGUUGGCACAGGGAGCAGGCAUUUCAAACGGAGCUUUAAUUCUGCUAAGCACUGGCCACAAUGAAAACCCCAUCUUCUCCCUGUAUUUUCUAUUUGGCCUAUUUAAUCUUGGUUCCAUAAGAUGAUCGGUGUGUAAACACAUGGAAGGCACUGGAAUGGAGAAAGCGCUCCUGAACGAACAGUCACUGAGCACCUACUGUGUGCAGGAGCUGCUCUAAGCAUUGGAGAGCGAGCUUUCCAUGAGACAGGCUCGUAAAAUUAGGUUCUCAAGGACCUAAUUUUCUAGAGAGAGAAGGCAUACAAUAAAAUAGGCAGUGAAUACAAAUAUGAAGGACAUGGUGUCAGGUGGUCUCAAGGAAUAUGGGAGAAUCGGUCACGAGUGUCGGGAAAAGGAUGGCAGGGGCGACUUCAGAUUGCACGGUCAGGGAGUGGCUCUCUGAAAAGGGGACAGUUGAGACCGGCCACCAAGGAGCCAUCGACGUGAACUCUCCAGGAAGAUGAACUCCAGCCCAGAGAAACUGCCUGGCACUAGUCGAGACGCCAUCGUCAUUUGUGGAGUGAAUGAAUGACUCAAGGUUGAGAAGGGAAAUCCUAGCAACAGAAAUCAUUUAGCUCCUGAUGUAGCUGUGGGCUGCAGGCCCCCUGGACUGCCCGCCCGAGGAAGCAAGUCCUGACCCCUGCGGCGGAUGGCUGGACAGCUAUGACAGGACACAAAGGAGGCCAGCACAACAGCGCUUUCCAGGGUGACGCUGCCUAACUGAAGACUUCUACUGAAGAAAGUCCAGCUAACUACAUUUAAGCAUUCACUUCUCAAAGACCCAGAUUAAUAGGCCACUGAGCCUGGAAAAGGUUUUCCAGCUGGCAGGUGUUUGGAGGACUGAGACCUGCUUCUUUCCUGGGUGCCUCUCACGGGAACAAUUAGAAUCAGACGAGAUUGGUGCGUCUCUCCUGGAUUCAUAGUAAGCAAGCGGAGUCCAGGCGCCCAGAAUUCUUCCCCAUGUUGACUCCUCCUAGAAGGUGGAACCAUCCUAAGUCUAAAGAGGAAUCACCGUCACUCAGAAAACUUCUAUCAGCUUCUUUCUGGGGCUGUGUGAACGUAAGACUCAUCUCAGUAACGUGUUAUGAGAAAAUUCAUGCCUCACCACAAAGAAACAGCUGUGUAUUGCCGCAGUCACUAACUUUUGAAAGAUGUUAAAGGAAGGUAUUUAUUUCACGCCAGUCACUUCAGCUCCAGCUUCCCCUUCAAGUUUUAAUAUCAUGGUGUCUCCUGCUGGUCCUGUAAGUGCUACCUUGUUUCUCUGAUGAGCGUGGGGAAAACCAGGCCCGGUAAUUUACGGCUCCUAUUAAGAGGGUUGGCUGGACGAGCGGACAAUACGUCAAUAAUUAUUUCUGGUGCGGCUCUCACGGCGGAGGAAGUGCAGUAGAAUGGCUUAUUUUAACGGAAGACAGAUACGCCUGACCUGGGUUUUAUGACAGAUGUCAAGUAUAUCGAAUGUGUUGUGAAGCAGAUCGCCUUAUUGGCAAAGAAAUGAAAGACCUCCAGGAAGAUGGAUGGGAAGCUUUCCUCAAGGGGUUUCCUGUCUCUUGGUGUAGGGAAGGCCGAGAACUUGAAGACGGGCCAGUGAGCAGGCAAGAGUGGAGACUGGGGUGAGCAGUCCAAACUCCUGCCUGUCCCCGAGACUUGGAAACAAAA